GACGAACGCUGGCGGCGUGCUUAACACAUGCAAGUCGAACGGAAAGGCCCUGCUUUUGUGGGGUGCUCGAGUGGCGAGCGGGUGAGUAACACGUGAGUAACCUGCCCUUGAUUUUGGGAUAACUUCAGGAAACUGGGGCUAAUACCGGAUAGGAGCUCCUGCUGCAUGGUGGGGGUUGGAAAGUUUCGGCGGUUGGGGAUGGACUCGCGGCUUAUCAGCUUGUUGGUGGGGUAGUGGCUUACCAAGGCUUUGACGGGUAGCCGGCCUGAGAGGGUGACCGGCCACAUUGGGACUGAGAUACGGCCCAGACUCCUACGGGAGGCAGCAGUGGGGAAUAUUGCACAAUGGGCGGAAGCCUGAUGCAGCAACGCCGCGUGCGGGAUGACGGCCUUCGGGUUGUAAACCGCUUUCGCCUGUGACGAAGCGUGAGUGACGGUAAUGGGUAAAGAAGCACCGGCUAACUACGUG
Molecule: ribosomal RNA, 468 nt
Filed under: uncultured bacterium
Lineage: Bacteria
Description: partial 16S ribosomal RNA
Rfam family: Bacterial small subunit ribosomal RNA
Source: RNAcentral